Molecule: ribosomal RNA, 434 nt
Filed under: uncultured bacterium
Lineage: Bacteria
Description: partial 16S ribosomal RNA
Rfam family: Bacterial small subunit ribosomal RNA
Source: RNAcentral
AGCGAACGCUGGCGGCAGGCUUAACACAUGCAAGUCGAGCGGGCACUUUCGGGUGUCAGCGGCGGACGGGUGAGUAACGCGUGGGAACGUGCCCUCUGUUCGGAAUAACUCAGGGAAACUUGAGCUAAUACCGGAUAAGCCCUUUUGGGGAAAGGCUUGCUGCCGGAGGAUCGGCCCGCGUCUGAUUAGCUAGUUGGUGAGGUAACGGCUCACCAAGGCGACGAUCAGUAGCUGGUCUGAGAGGAUGAUCAGCCACACUGGGACUGAGACACGGCCCAGACUCCUACGGGAGGCAGCAGUGGGGAAUAUUGGACAAUGGGCGCAAGCCUGAUCCAGCCAUGCCGCGUGAGUGAUGAAGGCCUUAGGGUUGUAAAGCUCUUUUAUCCGGGACGAUAAUGACGGUACCGGAGGAAUAAGCCCCGGCUAACUUCGUG